Molecule: long non-coding RNA, 1132 nt
Filed under: Nicotiana tabacum (common tobacco)
Lineage: Eukaryota; Viridiplantae; Streptophyta; Magnoliopsida; Solanales; Solanaceae
Description: long non-coding RNA (NTAB_LNC012449)
Source: RNAcentral
AAAUAGCAUCUAGGUUUCCAAUGCUUGUACAUUAAUGGAUUCAUUUACUGUGGAUGUUAUUAUGUCAAUGAUAUGACCCUAAGUCCAGAAUACGAACCAUAAUUCACGUAAAAUAAAAUUACAAAUAAUUAGUCGAUUAUUAUAUCUUAUAAAUUACGCAUUAAACUUUUAAACGAUGGAGAUGGUACACGUUAUACUGAAUUAGGUACAGGUACUCCUGGAAAAUAUUGGGGACAUGGAAAUAAUCUUUCACCCCUUCUGCAUUUUUCCUCAAUUGCUGCUUGAGGAAGAUUCCAAGACUCUUCAUCGAACUGUAAAAAGUCGUACACACAUUCUUGGUGACAAUAGUCUUUUUUUUGUUCUUCAAGUGUCAUACUACCUUUUACCAAUACCUUAGGAAAUAAUAAUGAGAUAAAGAUGCAUAUUUGCAACACCACCAUAAUUUGCUUACGAGAUGACAUCUUUUAUGAAUCUUGUCCCUGCAAAAAUUUAAUUGUUUUAAACAUUAAACAAGAGAAAACACUAGGUACAUAAAUAGCAAUUAGCUAGAAUUAGCUACGAACUUUAUCAUUAAUUUAUUGCUAAAUCGCUCGUAACUAACAAAAUUUCUUGAUAAUCAGUUGCUAAUCUGUUUCUACAUAAGAUUAGUUACAGAUUUUUCUGUUUAGCUACAUAAUUUGUCUGUCGCUUAUUCCUUUUUUUCUUUUUUUUUUUCUUUUUUUUUUUUUUUUGUUUAGUGAUUGAGAACAACAAUUUUGGGUGAUAAACAUAAUAGGCAAAUGUUAACUAAUUAGACUAUACAUUUUUGUUUUUUAAAUAAUCUAAUAGUAUGAAAUUAAAGAAAACUAUUCAUUUACUGGUUGUCUUAUAAGGAUAAAUAGAAAUAUGGACCAUGAAAAUGAAUCACAAGGAAAUAAACAGAAAUAGAAAUGGCAACGGAUAAGUGACACGAAUAGAGAAUUCAGUAAUCAGAGUUGGGUUUUCUUACACCAAUUUGGAAGUCAAACUAUUUUCCUGCGCAAAAGAUUUGUUCUUGAGUGGUAAAGCUUAACUAAGUGACACGAAUAGAUAAUUCAGUAAAUAUAGUUAGUUGACAUUGUAACGCAUGGUUAAAGUCCAUUUACUAUUUUGG